This 623-nucleotide ribosomal RNA is filed under the name uncultured bacterium. RNAcentral describes it as "bacterial SSU rRNA". It matches the Rfam family "Bacterial small subunit ribosomal RNA", at positions 65 to 734 of the family's 1533-position model. The record is from RNAcentral.
AGCGCACUCUUCGGAGUGAGCGGCGGACGGGUUAGUAACGCGUGGGAACGUGCCCUUUUCUGCGGAAUAGCCUCUGGAAACGGAGAGUAAUACCGCAUACGCCCUUCGGGGGAAAGAUUUAUCGGAGAAGGAUCGGCCCGCGUUAGAUUAGAUAGUUGGUGGGGUAAUGGCCUACCAAGUCUACGAUCUAUAGCUGGUUUGAGAGGAUGAUCAGCAACACUGGGACUGAGACACGGCCCAGACUUCUACGGAAGGCAGCAGUGGGGAAUCUUGGACAAUGGGCGCAAGCCUGAUCCAGCCAUGCCGCGUGAGUGAUGAAGGCCUUAGGGUCGUAAAGCUCUUUCGCCAGGGAUGAUAAUGACAGUACCUGGUAAAGAAACCCCGGCUAACUCCGUGCCAGCAGCCGCGGUAAUACGGAGGGGGUUAGCGUUGUUCGGAAUUACUGGGCGUAAAGCGCACGUAGGCGGACUAAUCAGUCAGAGGUGAAAUCCCAGGGCUCAACCCUGGAACUGCCUUUGAUACUGUUAGUCUAGAGUUCGAGAGAGGUGAGUGGAAUUCCGAGUGUAGAGGUGAAAUUCGUAGAUAUUCGGAGGAACACCAGUGGCGAAGGCGGCUCACUGGCU